RNAcentral lists this ribosomal RNA (1093 nucleotides) under Rhodococcus sp. (in: high G+C Gram-positive bacteria). RNAcentral describes it as "bacterial SSU rRNA". It matches the Rfam family "Bacterial small subunit ribosomal RNA", at positions 60 to 1167 of the family's 1533-position model. Lineage: Bacteria; Bacillati; Actinomycetota; Actinomycetes; Mycobacteriales; Nocardiaceae. The record is from RNAcentral.
AGUCGAACGAUGAAGCCCAGCUUGCUGGGUGGAUUAGUGGCGAACGGGUGAGUAACACGUGGGUGAUCUGCCCUGCACUCUGGGAUAAGCCUGGGAAACUGGGUCUAAUACCGGAUAGGACCUUCGGCCGCAUGGCUGGGGGUGGAAAGUUUUUCGGUGCAGGAUGAGCCCGCGGCCUAUCAGCUUGUUGGUGGGGUAAUGGCCUACCAAGGCGACGACGGGUAGCCGGCCUGAGAGGGCGACCGGCCACACUGGGACUGAGACACGGCCCAGACUCCUACGGGAGGCAGCAGUGGGGAAUAUUGCACAAUGGGCGCAAGCCUGAUGCAGCGACGCCGCGUGAGGGAUGACGGCCUUCGGGUUGUAAACCUCUUUCACCCAUGACGAAGCGCAAGUGACGGUAGUGGGAGAAGAAGCACCGGCCAACUACGUGCCAGCAGCCGCGGUAAUACGUAGGGUGCGAGCGUUGUCCGGAAUUACUGGGCGUAAAGAGCUCGUAGGCGGUUUGUCGCGUCGUCUGUGAAAACCCGCAGCUCAACUGCGGGCUUGCAGGCGAUACGGGCAGACUCGAGUACUGCAGGGGAGACUGGAAUUCCUGGUGUAGCGGUGAAAUGCGCAGAUAUCAGGAGGAACACCGGUGGCGAAGGCGGGUCUCUGGGCAGUAACUGACGCUGAGGAGCGAAAGCGUGGGUAGCGAACAGGAUUAGAUACCCUGGUAGUCCACGCCGUAAACGGUGGGCGCUAGGUGUGGGUUUCCUUCCACGGGAUCCGUGCCGUAGCCAACGCAUUAAGCGCCCCGCCUGGGGAGUACGGCCGCAAGGCUAAAACUCAAAGGAAUUGACGGGGGCCCGCACAAGCGGCGGAGCAUGUGGAUUAAUUCGAUGCAACGCGAAGAACCUUACCUGGGUUUGACAUGUACCGGACGACUGCAGAGAUGUGGUUUCCCUUGUGGCCGGUAGACAGGUGGUGCAUGGCUGUCGUCAGCUCCUGUCCUGAGAUGUUGGGUUAAGUCCCGCAACGAGCGCAACCCUUGUCCUGUGUUGCCAGCACGUAAUGGUGGGGACUCGCAGGAAACUGCCGGGGUCAACUCGGA